CGAUAGGACUUGGAGCAAUAAUGGUGGUUUGGAGUCCAAGGAGACAUCUCCAAUUCCUUUGUUUUGUCCGUUCAACAGCCCAAAAUCCCAACGUGAGUCGAUAAAGGGGAGACUUCUUCUCCUCUCAGGGUUCAUGGUGUCGUUGGGCAUUUGGACGGUGCUGACCGUGAUGCCGCCGUACAAACAGAUCAGUGUGUGUAAGAAGCCUGUGAGUCCAUGCUGCUCUCCCUUCUCCUUUAUCCUCUCCUCCUCUAGUCUCACCCUUCUCACCCUCUCGCUUUAAUCAGCUCUCGCUCUGUCCAGUGCUGCUGUAGUAAGCUACGGCAUUAUACAGUCUGUGCAUGUGUAUGAAUGUGUGUGUGUGUGUUGUGGAGAUCUGUCUGUCCCUUCAUUUGUCCAGUUGUUACUCAUCAUGCCUGCGUUAUUCAUCUUCACCCAUACAGUCUUAAACACCAAUGUACCAAUGCACCAAAGUGUGCUUUCAACAAGACAUUUAUAAGAAGCUGUGAUGGUUUACUGCCCAUAUCAAGUUUGCUGACAUUUGCACCACGCUGGAGCUCGAGAUGCUCAGUGUGUAGAUCAGGUAUGUUUCUCAUCGGGAGGCUCCGUCUUAAGGAGUUUGUCCAUCUGUUGACCACAGACGUCCGGUGUGACACAGAGACGCUACGACCACUGCUCAAAUGUCUCUCUCUGACACUUAAUUUCUUCCCCUUUUCUCUCCUUUUUAAUCUAUUGCUUCACUUCAACAUCUCUGUCUCUCCCUCUGCUUCAUGUCACUUUCCUCUUUGUCAGACUCACACACGCACAUACAAACACACGUAGUCUCCUCCGGCUAAGCGGUGACACACCGUGUAUACAGAGUGGAUGUGUGUGUGUUUUGGUGCACACUUGAUUUUGUGCAUUGAUGUGCAUCUAAGUAAGUGAUUUGGUAUAUUAAUCAUUCAAGUCUUUUAUCAAACAGAAAUGUCAAUUAAUCGCUGGCUUCACAUUCUCACAUGUUGACGCUUUGUUACUCCUCUACACCUUCAAUCAUUGCAAAUUUAAAGGCGUCGCUUUGGCAAAUUUAAUGAAUAUUUUUCACAAUUGCGACAGUGUAUCUUGAAAUACAUUAAAUAGGCUCUGAACAUGAGAUAACUGCCCCGGUCAGUAUAAAAGAAAACUCCUGGUUAACUUGCAGUGAGCAUUUAUUUCAGUGCUUUUCUGUCAUUUUAACAUAUAACAAAUCUCUAAUGUCACCUUAGAGUCGUGGAACCUUACUGGUCACAAUAGUAAUCAACUUGAAACUGAGACUUGUGAUAAUUUGACACUUUAUGCUUUAGUAUCUUUAUAAGCGGUUGCAUGUUUGUUUACGUGCUGUAAGUAAAGAUGCUUGGGCGAGCUUCUUAUUAGCCAGGAAGUGAUCUCACACUCGCAGUGCUCCUCUGGCGUUCAUGCUGUCACUUUCUUCUUCUUCUUCUUCUUCUCUUCUUCUUCUUCUUCUUCUUCUUCUUCUUCUUCUUCUUCUUCUUCUUCUUCUUCUUCUUCUUCUUCUUCUUCUUCAAAGAUCUCCUUUUCUCCUCACACAGCACUAAUGACACAGUGUGGCUUCAAACCCUCCAUUCUGGCUCUAUUUAUAAAACGGCUAGUUGCCGUGGCACUGACUCACUGUCAGCAAGCGGCAUUGAAACUGACUUCGCCACACACACACACACACACACACACACACACACGUAAAAAACCCUAAUACGAGUACAUAGACAAACACAGACACCAAAGGAUCACAGAGUUGUGGGAAGGCCUUAACCUCUUCGCAGCCAGCGUUGCUGUGGAGACGGGGAUUCAGGAAGCUGGGCUUUGCCAGCGGUCUAGCUGGGGGCCAGCUGCAGGCGGAGGAGGAUGUUUUUGGCAACACUAGCCCUGAUGGAAAACCCAGCCGCUGUGUCGGACUCAUUGCAUCGUGUAUAGAAACAUUCCCACUCUGUGACGCCGCUUGGUCGCUCCACAGUUUAAUCUGCUGCAGCCCUGGUGGGGGGAGGGGGGGGGGCCUGCUCAUUGCAGCCAGCAGAACUUAGUAACCCUGUGAAGUGCUCACACUUUAAACUGGUUGUUGAGUUUCUCAUGGACCAGAGGGACUGUUCUUCUGUCAGUGGGUUGGGGUAGGGUAGAGUUGAGUUAGGUUGGGUUAAGGUUGGGGUAGGGUUGGGUUGGGUUAGGGUUGGGUUGGGUUAGGGUUGGGUUGGGUGGGUAGGGUUAGGUUUGGGGUUGUUAGACCCGGACCACUGGUGGAUUUACUUCCAUUUCAAAAGUUUACAUCCAUUUUACAGAAACAAAUAUUGUUUGCUUAAGAGCUGUUUUCACUUUAAAGUAACGAUUAGAAGCACAUUUGAUUUCUUUUUGAUUGUGACUUAACUUAUAAUGAAGUAUUUCAAAUGUUUAAUCAGUGUCACUGGUUACACAACAUACAAUCAGUUCUGACAAUGUGCUGUAGAUUAAACUCUCCAUGAGUACUUGAAGUAGUUCAGAUGAACUUCACCUAACAUGAUGUACAGUAUAGUCAUAUAGAUCUUUAACUUAACUGUAGGUAUAUUUUGUAUUUCUGUAAACUACUUAAAAUUUCUCCUGGUAUUGUCUUUAGCAAAGAAAUUAGCACACCACUGAAUACACAGUGAAGAUGGAUAUAUAGGAAUAUUCAGGAUGAGCUGGUUGUCAAACUCAUUACUCCAGAAGUCCACAGCGACGCUCACCAACCCGAGACUCCCUGUGGAGCAGUGAUGGCCAAUUCAUUCUCUCAGGACAGGUAUUGAUUUUGUGAUGGACAGAUCAGAGCAUCAGGUCCCUAGAGUGCCACACGCGCACGCACACACACACACACACACACACACACAGACCAAAAUGCAUUCACUAGCCUUUACACUGGCAAAAAGCAAAUUCUAAACUCAACCGUGAAACCAAGUCUGAACCCUCAAACAGACCUUUGUGUCCAAGUGAGGACCAUCCAAGAGAUCCGUACAAAGCUCAAAAGCUUUGGCUAGAAGAUGACUGUUCAAGUAUACAAACACACACACACACAUAAACUGUCUUGUGUUUGUAUUUAUUGUAUUUGCUGUAACAGACAAGAGAGAAGCAGAAGAAGAGGACGGAGACUGAAAGGGAGAAAAAGAAACGCACAUCCUUCCUCCCAGCUUAUUGACUUUAGAAAUACUAGAAGAGCUUUGAAAUGUCCUCUCUCUGGUCUUUGCUCCUUGUCUUUCGCUGCUGUCGUGUGCUCGCUUCCCUUCACAGUAGUUCACUAUUAGUCUGCAGCCUCAUGGUCAACGCUCGUCUGGACGUGAUGACGGAUGUUGUUUCUCUCUUUCAUCAUUCAUGAUCACACUGCACCCCAGCAAAUUAAUGAUACAACUAUUCCUCCCUCCCCCCUUCUUCUGACCUCCUUUCCUUCCCCCUCCCCCCGCUGCUCUCCGUCCCCCUCUGUCUCUCAUUCCGUUACGUCCCUCGCAGCCCCGCAGACGAGAUGGAGUCCUCGGACGACGAUACUCUGAGCGAGCGCUCCUGCGUCAGCGAGCCGUCCUUCCGUAGCGAGCGCUCGGCGGGGUCGCUGUCCCCGUGUCCGCCGGGUCCCGCGGGGCCCCCGGGAGACACGCUGCCGUGGAACCUGUCCAAACAUGAGCGCAGGAAGAGGAAGAGCCAGGACUCUGUACUGGACCCGGCAGAGAGGGCGGUGGUUCGCGUUGCAGGUAAGGGCAAGCCGCCAGAGCACUUCCCCGUGCCUUUGAGCAAGAGGCCGAGGCCCAAAGCUGUCGAGUGAGGCUGCGGUCAGGGUGUGCGGUGGAAAACUGACUAUGAACCCCUGACUCGAGCGCUUAUAUGGGCCGAAAAGUACAAAAAAUGACACUGCUCUUUCCACCAUUACACAUGUUGUAUUAAGUUUCCACUUCAUCCCCUUUGAAUCUCACAUCACAGCACAAGGCUGUAAAUAUCAGAAAGAUGGGAGGAGAAUCUGUUGGUGGUGUCUUAUUUUCAUACUGCUACUAUGACGACUGCCCCCUUCCCCUCUUCCUCGCCGUAGCAGAAGAUGGAGGAGAAAUGUAGGUUGCUCAGCUCUCUGGAGGAGCCAGGGUUCUCCUGCUCGUGUAACAACACUAGCAGCCUGAUUCUCCUCUGUCAGCGAUUAGGAAGCUCCCAGCUCAAUAAUGGAAGCAAAUGAUGUAAAAGUUGGAGUAGUUUUUAUCCACUCACUGCAUCUCCUGAUUGCGAUGAUUAUUUGCAGUUUGAGGCUUUUAUCAUAUAAAUGUGUGGUAGUGGAUGGAUGCCAGCAUUUAGCUAACACUCAGCAGCCUACGAUUGAUGGAGGAGUAUAAUAAACUCCAUCAUUAUAUUAUGUAAUUCAUCCGGAUUUCAUCCAAAGCGUCUCACGAUUAGAAUGGUCUCAACCAUGAGGGUAAAACUGCUGCGUUUAGACACACAGUUAAAUGCAUAUAUAUACUUUACAUUUGAAUUGAACCUAUUUGAAUUUCAUUUUGUUAUUAGUUUUAUGGUUUCAUGAUUUUAUAGUUUUACUAUAGAGAGCAGAGCAAACUAAAAAGGACCUGAAAAGCUCAAAAGCAACCAAAGGCAAUCACCCCAAAUAUCAUAUAAUUACCCAUAAAUUGAAGUCAGUCACUCACUGCUGCAGCUUCUAUCAUGAUUUCUUACUGAUAGUUACAACAGUCUAAUUUUAAAAAAAGGCAGCUGAAAUAAAGGAUCACUUCCAUGCGCUAUUUGUAAUGAUAAAAACACCCUCAAGUUAUUCUUCUUACACCAUCAACACGUGACGGCUCUUUGUUGUUUACACAUGAAAGACUAAUUACGAGCAGAUCUGAGAGCGCACUUGUGGAAUCAGUUAUCACACUGGUUUAAGAGGGUUGGCAUCUUCGCUUUUAUGUCCUGUGGUCUUCUUUCUUCAUCGCGUUGGUCCUUCUCAGCAGACCAGAUGAAGAAACAACAUAUACAAAUCGUCUCAUACUCAGGAUUUGUGAAUAUGAUACUGGGUGUCUUACUAAAAAUAGAUAUGAAAACUAGAUCUGAAGCUAAAAAUGAGAUGUGGGCCACUAAUCAUCCACCAACCCGCACUCCUGCCACCUCACUGUAGACUAAGCAUCCGGCAGUCUUGUAAACUGAUUUAUUUUAAGUCCUUUGCGUUAAGCAUGAACAUACAAAACAAAGUUGAAGUCUUUGAUUUUGCAAGUGACUUUUGGUGUUAUUUAUUUUGAUAUACUGGAUGUCCUGCAUCCGUAAAGGUUACCAGAUUCAAUCAUGAUGAACAUAUUGUUAGCUGUUGGCCUCAGAGCCCGGCUAAACGGAGACAGCGUUGCCAUUUUCCUUUUUGACAAGUUUGUCCAACCUGGCAACAGUAACAAAGGUUUGGUCAAUUAACAUCAAUACUAUCUUUUCUCCAUUUGCACAGAUUCCAACGUGUACAAACGAUCAGUUGUGGUCACACCAAAGGUUACAUGACGAGCGAGUCCCUGCUAGCUGCUUUUGGCUAAGCUAGCUGUUUGGCCUGGUCCCAGUCCUCAUGCUAAGCUAAGAAACCAGCUGCUGGCUCCAGCAUCGUAUUCACAAAGUGUGCUUUUAAAACGAGUGUGAGAAAUAUGCUCUUAGAUCGGCCCAGAAACACGAGGCUGCUAGAGUACAUGCAAAGUCCCUUUAGAAUGUAAAUUCACUGAAUGAAUGAAUGAAUGAAUGAAUGAAAGAAUCCUCUUCACCUGGUUUCGCACCAAACGAUCAAAGCACAUCAGCAGUCUUUCUGCAGCAGUGAUGCUUCCAUAUUUCUCUGUGAGCUGCCGUAGAGAUUCGACUGGUACCAGCCGGUAUCCCAGGCGUACCCACAGCUCGCCAAAGUCUAUUGUGAUGAAAUUGCAUUUUACAUAAUUCAGGCAGAGGCUGGAAUGUGGGGAAAACUAAUACAUUAGGCUGCUUAUUAAGCUGCACGGCUUAAAGUCCAGUUACAACAUUUACAGUGCCGCAGAAGUAAACAUGUGUCACAGGUAGUUUUGUUCUGCUUAUCUAUGAUUUCAUUCCAAAAAGUACUAAAGUAAGUGUACGAGGAAGGAUAAGUUGCUUUUCUACCAGGCAGAACGAGGAGCUUUGUGAACAGAUAAGUUCACUGGAGAGGAUAAAGGCCGACGCUGCAGUCCUGACUGUUGUUUAUUCUCUCUGGACCGGCGCGGCCUGCCUGCUGAGCAUGAAUGUCAAUGAAACCUCCAACAGCUGCCGGCCUCACUGUUGAUGUACUGACUAGAAUCAACUGUUAACUAUUAAACCACCAUUACUGGUAAGGUAAAAAAAACACAAUUUACUAAUAUUUGAAAAGAAAUGUCACAAUGUCACAAAUCAACCAAGCUAGUUUGUUCUCUUCUGCAUUUAUUCACAAGACACUCCAGGACACGUGUUUGUGUCCCAGGAGCCAUGUAGCCUAAGAUAAUCAAGUACUUAUUUUGUUUCACUGCAACGGGAAUUUGAGAGAAAAUAGCUUUACCCUCAAAACGUGAUUGUGAAUGAAGUUGUGUUGCGUCAGAACGUUGGCUGGAUGCAGAUCCACAAAUGCAGGUUGUGCUCUGUUAAAAAGCCAAACGUAUGUUAUUACAUUGUGUAACACAAAUCCACUGACUUUUAUCUUGAUUAAAUUGAUUGUAUAGCCUAUGAGGUUAAGAACUUGAAGUUGGAAGUGUAGCAUAUGGAAGUUAAUGUGGUGUUUUGUAUUUAUUUGCAAAAUGAUUAAAUCGGUUGGUAUUUUUUUGUAAUUUUCACACACCUUUGCUAAACUGGUUUUUGUUUGUGGAUCAUGAAACACAUUUGUCACCAGUUUUGAGACUAAUUCCUCCACAUGAGAAAUAGAUGAGUCAUGAAGACGUCUGGUAAUUGUUUUAGACUCAAAUUAUUUUAUAUUUCUGUACGUCCAUAUUUCCGUUGGUUUCAUUUCAGCUUAAAGCAGUGGUAAAACGGAAAGAUUUAGCCCAAAGGUUAAGAUAUUAAAAAGGCUGAGAGGAUAUUAAACCAGAACUAAAGUCACAGGGACACAUGAGCGAGUGUGAGAACCGUCUCUGUCUGUGCAGCAGUGAUGAUUUAUCCACGUGAGCAUCAGGACCCCGGACGCCUGUGCCUGCAUGUAACUUAGCCGUCCACCGCCCGCCUGCUGCUACUGCUUCCACAUUCCCUUCCCGGCAGGCGCCUGAGAGGAAGCCUCAGCUUGAAUCCCAGCAUGUUCCCCCUGUUGCCUUGGCAACGUGGUCUCCUCUGUUCCCAUGGUUAUAAAAGGCAAGAAGAAGCAAUGGCGACUGGGGUUACGGAGACUGACACUGAAUAUAAAGGGAGGGCAAAACAAAUAGAGCGAGAGAGUCUCCGAAUUUUAAUUUGAAGGGGGAGAAAUGAGAAGGGAGUUUGUUAAAGAAAAGAGAGAGAGAGAAGAGUGAAUGAUUGUGCAAAAAAUGUAAUGAAUAGCGAAAAGGAAUGUAGUUGAAGAAAGAGAGGAGGGGGGGGGGGGGUAAUAGAGAGAUCGAGGGAGUGGAUUAAAAAGAGGGAAAGGUUAAAAGAAAUGAUGAUUUUUAACCGACGCCGAGGGGUAAAUGAGGUCAUCCACAAAAAGUCACUUAAGAAAGAUCAAGACUGGAAAAGAGAAAUGAGGGAUGUGAGGGCAUUCGAAUGAAAGGAAGGAGGAGGAAAAGAGAACAAGAGACCUUAAAUGAAAGGAGAAAGGAAAAAAGUGAGAACUUGAGGGGAAAUAAAGAAGAGCGAGAAGAAUACAAAUGGGGGAUGUUGUUCAAGUCAGUUAUGCAACACAGAGUAAAGCAUUUAAUGCUUUUAAUGCCUACAAACAAGUGAUAUGCCUUUGACGCACGCUGGUUUAUUGUUACACUGCCUUAAAGUUAAGGCACGAGAUGUGCUCUCAAUCCUAAGAUCUGCUCCUUUAAACACGCAGCUGUAAAGUGGCAACUUGUUGCAACUUGUUUUCACGUUAAAGCAACAUUAAUGAAAAUGUAAAACAAAAGUUAAUUUUAAAAAAUUAACUUAAAACAAAAGUUAAUUUAAAAAAAUUAACUUUUGUUUUACAUUUUACAAUUACAAUUGAUGUAGUUCUCAUACUGAAAAUACUGCUUUCUUAGGAAACACAUCUAUACUACUUAUUAGCUUGGCAGAAGUCACAUUAUCUGUAUUCUUGGAACAACAGGGAAUUUCCGACAUGCUUUAUUUGGGUUGUAACGCUGAGGUCAGUGGAGCUCUGCUGCUGAGGCGUUGGUCGUGCUGAUGUCUUCAGGACUGUUUGUUCUUUUAGCUCUCGAAGCUCAUUUACUGUGCAGCUGGACUCUGCAGGACUCCACCGACACACAAUCAGGUGCAGGCGUGUGUGGUCACAGACUGGAGGACACACACUGCAGAAAGAUAACAGCGUGAGUGACCGAACCAGGCGAGAGGUGACUGACACGCUCAGCAUUCUUUAUCUACAGUCACAGCACAUUUUCAUUAUUUUGUUAAGCAUUACACAUGUGGUGUGAUUGAAAAAGGAAAAGACAACUCAGGAAUGGAAGAACAUAAAGAAAAGGAGAAGUUAUUAGUCACUCACAAUUUGCUGUAACUUCCAUCUUCCACCACUAGACGGGGAUAUAAAGGCGCCCGUGUGCUCUGUGUGUUGAGCUACUCCGUUUCUCAUCAGUUAACUGCUGAAAGAUGAAAUCAGCUUCCACUGUAAUCCUGUUGGGUAUAAUAUGUUUUCUGACGUUCGGCAGAUAAAAUGGCACCGGGACCUAGAGACCAGGGUGGCAAUGACCUCUCCUCUUUGUUUGGAAUGUCAGUGUGUGUGUGUGUGUGUGUGUGUGUGUCAGUGUUGUAGAUGGACACAGAGUCCACCCUCUCCGGCCUGUUUUCUCUCUUUAUGAAUAUUUCAGAACCCCGUACGUGCGUUGUGAUUGGACAGUGUACACGUGUGUGUGUGUCAGACUGGGAUUCUUCUGAGGUGUCUGUACUUCCAGUGGGGUCCAGCUGAUGGGACUCCAGUAAAGAAGAGGAGACACAAAGAAUAAAAAACAGAGAGGAAAUGAAUACCUGCUUGUAGUUGUGACUUAAUUAAUCGUAAACACAUUAGACUGGAAGCAUCUUAGAUGUUUUUUUUUACGAUUAUAAAUAGAAACCACAUUUCCCAUAUUUCUUUCCCGUAGAAACAGAAGACUCUCUGAAAGAUUUUUAUUUUCGUUUAAAAGAAACUUUAUAGCCCUCAUAAAAAGUAGCUAUGGCAGAGCAAUAGAUUGUACAGUUAGUAAUUAUAUGCAGAUGCCACAUUUGCCCCGCUGAUCUCUGUUUGUACUAUAAGACCAGAAGCUGCGUGUGCUUGACUUCACUUUAAGUCAUCUCCAUGUGUCUGUAUGGGAUAAAUGGCAGAAUCUGUACAUAUCAGUGAGUCUGAUUUAUGACCUGAGGAUGAUCGCAUGGUGAGAUUACCCACUGACGGCUGUGUUUCACCCAGCAGCACGGCGCUCACAUGACUUUAAUUCAGUUUUAGCAAACUGAACCAUUGUCUAUCUGUGUUCCUGGAAUGGUUUUGGCUCUUCUUCUUUUGACCAGCUGUGGGUUUACUGGCCCGCUAACAAGGAUUGCUCUUGGAUUCAGAUUUUGCUUCCGUAGUUCUUUGUAAUAUUUAUACAGUUAGCUUUUAGAUGGCCUUGACCUCCAUUCAUUCAGCUCCACAACUAAAACUUCCUCACACAGAAACAAUGUUCCAAGUUUUGAAAGACCUCUGUUCAUAUUCUGACUAUAUAAGAAAUGCAUUGGUCUGCUGUUAAUUUGGCACUUUGCAUAUGAAGGUUAGUUGAACGGAUAUGGUUUAUUUGGUUAAUUUCUGCUAACCGUAGACUGUUGUUAACAUUGUUUUGGCCAAUCUACAUUGCAAAGUAAUUUCCCAAACAUUUUGGAAGCAAAUAGUUUACUUUUUAACCACACUGCAUUCAUUUGACAGCUUUAGUUAGUGUUGCAUUGCACAGUAUUCAUAUGAAAAAUAAAUAAAAACAAAUAAAUGCCAACAUUUUGUUGCAGUGCAAGCAGUAUCAUUUGAUUUUGAUAGUAGAAUUGUGCAAACUGUACUCAAGGAAAUGGAUCCAAACCAUGUGUUGUGUUUCUGCCCUGAUUUGUUUGCCUGCUUGUACGUUACCAGCUGUGUACUAAUGUUAUUGCCUGUAUUAUUGUCACAGCCGCCAAUAAUUAUAUAAAGAAAACGUAUUGGCAGGAGAUCCGCCAUAUUGGAUUCUCCGUCUCAUCAACGGUUCUCCGACAAAUAGCUCAUACAAUCAUUUAAAGUAUUUCUCUUUAAUUUAAAGUUUCAAUUCUUCGUCUGCAACAGAUGUCUAAUAACAGCCGACAGAAAGACCAAACACCGAGUCACCUUCUUACUUUUAACAGAGAAUUGAUUCAGGAGGCCAACGCGAACCGCCAUUCCCGCCGGUGUAACAUAACGGAAUUGACCCGCUCUUCAUAAUAUAACCAAUAAUACGACACGUGGUGGGUGUGAAUUGGUUUUAUACGAUGCAGUUAACCGUUAAUUGAAUGAUCAUUUCAAUCGGCCUGCCGACCGCCGAGCCGUGGUGACCAUCUGGGGGCGCUCCAGCUCCAUUUCCCCGGCAGCCUGUAAGCUAGCUGCCGCUACUUCACCGCCGGCUCCGGGGAUUCCUGUGGCGGAGGUUCCUGGCGCGGCCGACAGAGAGAGAUGGAAGACCGCCACUGCGGGGGAAAAGCCCGAGGAACCUGAGCAGACGCGAGACCGGGAGGGAGGGAGACGGAGGGAGAAACGAAGACGCGCACAUUCGCACCGAGGCGGAGACCGCAAAGCCUGGGAUAGAAGCGGCCAUUACGGCGGGGAAGCACGCUGGAGCUCAGGCGGCUCGCCUCGGAUCCGCAGGACGCCGACACAGCCCGGGAUAGCGAGCCAGGGGAGCUCCGCUCAUUUUGGGGACGGAAACGGACACACUGCCCCCCCCCCUCUCCUCUAGGGACUCUCAGCUGGGGUGUGAGGGAUUUACUCCUUCACACACACACAGGAGGAGCACAGCGCAGCAGUCACCGGGUGGACGCCGAUAUUAAAGGAGGGACUGGUCCGAGAAGCCCCGCCGGGUGAUGCCGCUGUGUGUCCCGCACGCCGCGGCAAUGGAUAGAGCCUUUAUGUAACCUUCAUCCAAACACAUUCCCCCGUCGCCAGACUCCUGGCUUUUGUUGUCCUUUUGUAUUGUCUUAAGUCCCCCCCCCCCGCAAGGAUUAUCUAAGCUCGGAAGUGAGGUACGAGGCUCUUUCUGUGCGUCAAUGCAUCGGAUUCGUUAGUCCCUCGCAAGGUGGUGUUGUGUGGGACGCAGAGCGGAAGGAGCCGGAGUCACUGCGGUAGUCUGCAGGCCGACCCCCCCCUCCACUCCACUGCCUGCCCGGCUCGCACAUCCACCAUGGCCGGGUUCACACCGGGGCUACUGCCGACGAACCGGUCCCAGGAGAAGGAGUUCGCCCAGGCGUACGAGGACGUGUUGGAGCGAUAUAAAGGUAAAGGUGACACUUAAAAAAAAAAAAAACAUGUGCCUCAUCUUCGUAAAAAUGCAUCCAGAUUAAAAUGUUACAGCCAAUAUAAUGGUUUCACCGCUAAGCCCCAAAUAAACAACUAAUUUAAGUCCACGCUUAACUUAAACUGUGUUCAUAAUGUCGCUCUGGGAACAUUACAGGAAUGCUGAGAGAAUAUGAAAAUACUUUGGCUAAAAAGCCUUGAGGCGUGUGUCUGGAAGUUGAUCUUCUGGCCGAAGCUCGUCUGCCGCUUUCAUGACCUGGAUGGUUUCUCUGUUUGCAUAAACCGAACAGAACAGGGCUCCGAUCUGCAUCUCCCGCUGAUGUCUCCUCCACCCAACGCUUGUUUUGCCCUGUGUCCGCUGUUUGCCCUGUAAACAGGACGCUGACGUGUGUGUGUGUGUGUGUGUGUGUGUGUGUGUGUGUGUGUGUGUGAGAGAGAUAAUGGGGCCUCAGGCAGCCUCUCUGAUGUGAUGCUGCUUUAAAUGAUUUAUCAUUAUAAUAAAGUCCUCCUUGAGGAUCGUUUGUGUUAUCGGCAAAGGUUCACAUGAUCUGCAGUUCUUCAGUCCCGACAAUAAAGUAUCCGUAAGACACGUGUAGGACCACAGAAGAAGAAGCAGCUUUCCGUGACAGCUUGUUAUAUCUUUGUUAUGGGGACACGCUGCUGCUUUUUGGCCCUAAAAUGAGGCUUCUGUUGAAGGGAAGUGAAAAAACUUGGCAAGAUCUGGAACACAUCUGGGCCAAACUAUGCAGACUUCUUAUCUGUAUGUCCAGCGUAACGCAUCUCUCGAGGGUCUUUGGCUCAAAUAGUUUUUUCCUGCAGCAGGUGUGUUGCAUGGCAGGGCAUAAAUGUUAACGUAUCAGCUGUUAAACAGACCAGGUUUGUUUAAUGGCACACAGCGAGAUGCAUUUGAUGUUUCUAAUGAUUAAGUGGUAAAUGGGUCAGGGUUCCUCUGCAGGUAGUAGGACUUUUGGUCUUUUUUUGGCCUUUUGGACCCCUCAACACAGAACUGAUCUUAGGUCAGUGAUCGGAGUCCAGCGUUGUUGACAUUACAAUCAGUACUGGAGUUUGUAGGUCUGUAGAUGUGUGGGUUUACUGCAGUCGGGAGGAGACCGUGAGCGACCCGACCCAGUAAACCAACCCUAAGCCCUGUCUGUUCCAGUAGGACGUCCUACGGUGAGGCUGCAGGUUUUCACCCCUCACGUCUCCUGCCCUUCGUCGGUGCUAUAAUGAGGCUGUGACCCUGCAGGACCCGCUCUGUGUCCUCUGGAGGGCUUCCAGUACAACAGGACCCGUGUUGCACUGCGUAUCUGUCCAACACUCUUUUUGCACCUCUUCCCCCCGCCCCCCUGCCCCCCCCCCCUCCCCCUGGUAGUCUUGGAUUGCGCCAAAGCGUGUGGCUUUUUACCACUGUGCUGUUACUCGGGAUGUGUGCGAGCCACUUGAGGCAGUUGCGAGGAAGAAAAGAGGCGUAAAUGUGAACUUGGCGUCCGGCUGUAGCUGCUGGGCUUGUGACUGAAACUGGAGCGCUGGACACUGGAUACGGCUUGAAUAAUUCACAGGGGGGGGGGGGCAGGCUGUUGGUGCUCGUGUGUAGCUGCCGUGCAACAAUGACAGGAUAUCUAAAGUAACAUGGUCAUGGGCGGAAAGCCCCGGGACCUGAGUCAGUGGAAAACCAGAUGGUUCAGAGCAACGUCCUAUUUACUCCUGGAGGUCUGUCAUUAUUCUUUGCAGCCAACGUGGUGUGGAUUUCUGUUUUAAGUUGUAUUCUUAGCAGUCCUAAUCGGAUGAGUGUAUUAACAUUUACAUAAGCUUAAGUGCAGCAAAUAUGACGGGUACACAACGGUCCAUAAAAGUCCCCCGUGAGCCAGAUAUAUAUAUAUAUAUAUAUAUAUAUAUAUAUAUAAGAGGGAAGUGAACAAUCAGGCCUUUUUUUUAAAGGAACAAGAUGGUCAGGAAGCCCUUUCCAAACUUAGACACGAUUGUGUGUGCGUGUGCGUG
Molecule: long non-coding RNA, 13543 nt
Organism: Gasterosteus aculeatus aculeatus (three-spined stickleback)
Lineage: Eukaryota; Metazoa; Chordata; Actinopteri; Perciformes; Gasterosteidae
Source: Ensembl